This 254-nucleotide ribosomal RNA is filed under the name uncultured bacterium. RNAcentral's name for it is "partial 16S ribosomal RNA". It matches the Rfam family "Bacterial small subunit ribosomal RNA", at positions 524 to 776 of the family's 1533-position model. The record is from RNAcentral.
UACGUAGGGUGCAAGCGUUAAUCGGAAUUACUGGGCGUAAAGCGUGCGCAGGCGGUUUUGUAAGUCUGUCGUGAAAUCCCCGGGCUCAACCUGGGAAUUGCGAUGGAGACUGCAAGGCUGGAGUCUGGCAGAGGGGGGGUAGAAUUCCACGUGUAGCAGUGAAAUGCGUAGAGAUGUGGAGGAACACCGAUGGCGAAGGCAGCCCCCUGGGUCGAUACUGACGCUCAUGCACGAAAGCGUGGGGAGCAAACAGG